This 761-nucleotide ribosomal RNA is filed under the name Rhizophagus cf. intraradices HG-2010. RNAcentral describes it as "eukaryotic LSU rRNA". It matches the Rfam family "Eukaryotic large subunit ribosomal RNA", at positions 38 to 648 of the family's 3401-position model. Lineage: Eukaryota; Fungi; Glomeromycota; Glomeromycetes; Glomerales; Glomeraceae. The record is from RNAcentral.
GCAUAUCAAUAAGCGGAGGAAAAGAAAAUAACAAUGAUUCCUCUAGUAACUGCGAGUGAAGAGGGAAAAGCUCAAAUUUUAAAUCUGUUAGGUUUACCUAACCGAGUUGUAAUUUGAAGAAGCGUUUUCUGCGAAUUUGGUUAGUCCAAAUAGCUUUGGAAUAAGGUAUCAUGGAGGGUGAGAAUCCCGUUCGGUUAACCAAAGCGCUUUACGAUACGCUUUCAAAGAGUCAAGUUGUUUGGGAUUGCAGCUUAAAAUGGGAGGUAAAUUUCUCCUAAGGCUAAAUAUUGGCGAGAGACCGAUAGCGAACAAGUACCGUGAGGGAAAGAUGAAAAGAACUUUGAAAAGAGAGUUAAACAGUACGUGAAAUUGUUGAAAGGGAAACGAUUAAAGUCAGUCGUACCUACGAGUAAUCAGCCUACUCGAGUGCGAUUCUGUGGGUAUGAUAGAGCUUAAAAACCUUCAUGCUUACAAAUUGGUGCUCUUUGGGCGUACUUUCUCGUAUGGUAGGUUAACAUCAAUUUCGAUCGUUAUAAAAUGACUGGAGGAAUGUAGCUUCGAUCUCGGUUGAAGUGUUAUAGCCUUUGGUAGAUGUAAUGAUUGGGAUUGAGGAUUGCAACGGAUACCCUCUGGGCUAUUCGUCUGAUCUCUGGAAGUUACCUUGGUGUCAGAAAGCGUGUUUACGAUAUUAAGGUUGACGGCCAAUAGGUUAGAACAUGAUUAAAUUCGUUAAGGAUGUUGACGUAAUGGCUUUAAACGAC